RNAcentral lists this ribosomal RNA (465 nucleotides) under uncultured bacterium. Its description in RNAcentral is "partial 16S ribosomal RNA". It matches the Rfam family "Bacterial small subunit ribosomal RNA", at positions 28 to 507 of the family's 1533-position model. The record is from RNAcentral.
GACGAACGCUGGCGGCGUGCUUAACACAUGCAAGUCGAACGGAAAGGCCCUGCUUGCAGGGUACUCGAGUGGCGAACGGGUGAGUAACACGUGGGUGAUCUGCCCUCCAAUUCGGGAUAAGCCAGGGAAACUGGGUCUAAUACAGGCUGGGAGCCAUUUUUAGUGGGAUGGUUGGAAAGUUUUUUCGGUGUAUGAUGAGCUUGCGGCCUAUCAGCUUGUUGGUGGGGUUAUGGGCUACCGAGGCGGCGGAGGGUAGCCGGCCUGCGUGGGUGGACGGCCACACUGGGACUGAGGGACGGCCCAGACUCCUACGGGAGGCAGCAGUGGGGAAGAUUGCACAAUCGGCGCAAGCCGGAUGCAGCGACUCCGCGUGGGGGAUGACUGCCUUCGGGUUGUAAACUCCUUUCGCUAGGGACGAAGCUUUUUGUGACGGUACCUAGAUAAGAAGCACCGGCUAACUACGUG